AAUUGUGGUUAGUGGCGACGGGUGAGUAACACGUGGGCAAUCUGCCCUUCACUCUGGGACAAGCCCUGGAAACGGGGUCUAAUACCGGAUAACACUCUGUCCCGCAUGGGACGGGGUUAAAAGCUCCGGCGGUGAAGGAUGAGCCCGCGGCCUAUCAGCUUGUUGGUGGGGUAAUGGCCUACCAAGGCGACGACGGGUAGCCGGCCUGAGAGGGCGACCGGCCACACUGGGACUGAGACACGGCCCAGACUCCUACGGGAGGCAGCAGUGGGGAAUAUUGCACAAUGGGCGAAAGCCUGAUGCAGCGACGCCGCGUGAGGGAUGACGGCCUUCGGGUUGUAAACCUCUUUCAGCAGGGAAGAAGCGAAAGUGACGGUACCUGCAGAAGAAGCGCCGGCUAACUACGUGCCAGCAGCCGCGGUAAUACGUAGGGCGCAAGCGUUGUCCGGAAUUAUUGGGCGUAAAGAGCUCGUAGGCGGCUUGUCACGUCGGAUGUGAAAGCCCGGGGCUUAACCCCGGGUCUGCAUUCGAUACGGGCUAGCUAGAGUGUGGUAGGGGAGAUCGGAAUUCCUGGUGUAGCGGUGAAAUGCGCAGAUAUCAGGAGGAACACCGGUGGCGAAGGCGGAUCUCUGGGCCAUUACUGACGCUGAGGAGCGAAAGCGUGGGGAGCGAACAGGAUUAGAUACCCUGGUAGUCCACGCCGUAAACGUUGGGAACUAGGUGUUGGCGACAUUCCACGUCGUCGGUGCCGCAGCUAACGCAUUAAGUUCCCCGCCUGGGGGAGUACGGCCGCAAGGCUAAAACUCAAGGAAUUUGACGGGGGCCCCGCACAAGC
This 835-nucleotide ribosomal RNA is filed under the name Streptomyces sp. RNAcentral describes it as "bacterial SSU rRNA". It matches the Rfam family "Bacterial small subunit ribosomal RNA", at positions 84 to 930 of the family's 1533-position model. Lineage: Bacteria; Bacillati; Actinomycetota; Actinomycetes; Kitasatosporales; Streptomycetaceae. The record is from RNAcentral.